This 758-nucleotide ribosomal RNA is filed under the name Aethina concolor. Its description in RNAcentral is "LSU rRNA". It matches the Rfam family "Eukaryotic large subunit ribosomal RNA", at positions 132 to 656 of the family's 3401-position model. The record is from RNAcentral. Lineage: Eukaryota; Metazoa; Arthropoda; Insecta; Coleoptera; Nitidulidae.
GACGCCGGGAAAUGUGGUGUUCGGGAGGAUCCAUUAUCCCGCGGCGUCGUGAUGCGUCCAAGUCCUUCUUGAACGGGGCCAUAACCCAUAGAGGGUGCCAGGCCCGUAGUGACCGUCGCACGUUGCGGGAGGAUCUCUCCUUAGAGUCGGGUUGCUUGAGAGUGCAGCCCUAAGUGGGUGGUAAACUCCAUCUAAGGCUAAAUAUGACCACGAGACCGAUAGCGAACAAGUACCGUGAGGGAAAGUUGAAAAGCACUUUGAAGAGAGAGUUCAAGAGUACGUGAAACCGUUCAGGGGUAAACCUGAGAAACCCGAAAGGUCGACGGGGAAAUUCAUUCGCGUUUCGCGCAGUCGACGCCCGGGUGACAGCGUGACGGACAGGCCCUCGGGCCAAGUACGCGCCUGUCUGCUCGGCGUUCGGCCGCGAACGCGUGCACUUUUCCCCUUGUCGGACGUCGCGAUCCGUUGGGUGUCGGUCGAAGGCCCGUGGUGGAGCCUCGUGCGGGACGCGUUUUCGCGUUCGCGUGCGAGACCCGCGGUGUUUCCUGACCGGCUCGCCCGACGGUAUGCCAAUGGCGCGGGGCCGCGAUUCAAUUCGCGUUCGGCCCGGAGCAAGUUCGUGUCGUUCAUGGUGCGGUGAUCGGACCUAGUGCCGAUCUCGCCGUCGACCGACUUGUUCGCUCCGGCGUUCUCGAACAGACCCUGUGAAACGCCGAUCGGCGACGCUAUAGCUUUGGGUACUUUCAAGACCCGUCUUG